Long non-coding RNA from Marmota flaviventris (yellow-bellied marmot), 356 nucleotides. RefSeq lists it as uncharacterized. The record is from RefSeq and is a predicted model, not a curated record. NCBI's taxonomy places the organism in Eukaryota, Metazoa, Chordata, Mammalia, Rodentia, Sciuridae.
UUGACAAUAGCGGGCUGUUUACUUCAAAAGAGCUAGGAGAGAGGACUUUGAAUAAUUUCACUGCAAAGAAAUGCUAAAGGUCGCACCGAUGGGGAACGUCUGUGCUAUCAGCAUCUUUGGGAUCCAUCACAAUCCAUCUGUCUGGCCAGAUCCUGAGGUGCUGCUCCUCCUCCCCAUUCCUGGGGCCUGGUGAUGGGGCGCGGACCUGACCUGGGACAUCAGACGCCGUCCCUCUACUGCACCUGCACGACUUCCCCCGGGGUGGCUGGUGUGCCAUCUCCCAGCAGCCCUCUCUUGCCCUGUCCCCAGGUCUAUGACCCCUCGCGCUUCGACCCAGAAAAACCCAGAAGAGGUCA